Molecule: ribosomal RNA, 1091 nt
Filed under: Leuconostoc mesenteroides
Lineage: Bacteria; Bacillati; Bacillota; Bacilli; Lactobacillales; Lactobacillaceae
Description: bacterial SSU rRNA
Rfam family: Bacterial small subunit ribosomal RNA
Source: RNAcentral
GGGCAGGAGGGUGCUAUACAUGCAGUCGAACGCACAGCGAAAGGUGCUUGCACCUUUCAAGUGAGUGGCGAACGGGUGAGUAACACGUGGACAACCUGCCUCAAGGCUGGGGAUAACAUUUGGAAACAGAUGCUAAUACCGAAUAAAACUUAGUGUCGCAUGACACAAAGUUAAAAGGCGCUUCGGCGUCACCUAGAGAUGGAUCCGCGGUGCAUUAGUUAGUUGGUGGGGUAAAGGCCUACCAAGACAAUGAUGCAUAGCCGAGUUGAGAGACUGAUCGGCCACAUUGGGACUGAGACACGGCCCAAACUCCUACGGGAGGCUGCAGUAGGGAAUCUUCCACAAUGGGCGAAAGCCUGAUGGAGCAACGCCGCGUGUGUGAUGAAGGCUUUCGGGUCGUAAAGCACUGUUGUAUGGGAAGAACAGCUAGAAUAGGAAAUGAUUUUAGUUUGACGGUACCAUACCAGAAAGGGACGGCUAAAUACGUGCCAGCAGCCGCGGUAAUACGUAUGUCCCGAGCGUUAUCCGGAUUUAUUGGGCGUAAAGCGAGCGCAGACGGUUUAUUAAGUCUGAUGUGAAAGCCCGGAGCUCAACUCCGGAAUGGCAUUGGAAACUGGUUAACUUGAGUGCAGUAGAGGUAAGUGGAACUCCAUGUGUAGCGGUGGAAUGCGUAGAUAUAUGGAAGAACACCAGUGGCGAAGGCGGCUUACUGGACUGCAACUGACGUUGAGGCUCGAAAGUGUGGGUAGCAAACAGGAUUAGAUACCCUGGUAGUCCACACCGUAAACGAUGAACACUAGGUGUUAGGAGGUUUCCGCCUCUUAGUGCCGAAGCUAACGCAUUAAGUGUUCCGCCUGGGGAGUACGACCGCAAGGUUGAACUCAAAGGAAUUGACGGGGACCCGCACAAGCGGUGGAGCAUGUGGUUUAAUUCAAAGCAACGCGAAGAACCUUACCAGGUCUUGACAUCCCUUUGAAGCUUUUAAGAUAGAAGUGUUCUCGUCGGAGACAAAGUGACAAGUAGAUGCAUGGUCAUCGUCAGCUUCUGUCCUGAGAAGAUGGGGUUAAGUCACGCAACAAGCGCACCCCUAA